UACGUAGGGGGCAAGCGUUGUCCGGAUUUAUUGGGCGUAAAGAGCGUGUAGGCGGCCAGAUAGGUCUGCUGUGAAAACUCGAGGCUCAACCUCGAGCUGUCGGCGGAAACCAUUCGGCUAGAGUCCGGAAGAGGAAAGCGGAAUUCCUGGUGUAGCGGUGAAAUGCGCAGAUAUCAGGAAGAACACCCGUGGCGAAGGCGGCUUUCUGGGACGGUACUGACGCUGAGACGCGAAAGCGUGGGGAGCAAACAGG
Molecule: ribosomal RNA, 253 nt
Filed under: uncultured bacterium
Lineage: Bacteria
Description: partial 16S ribosomal RNA
Rfam family: Bacterial small subunit ribosomal RNA
Source: RNAcentral